RNAcentral lists this transfer RNA (64 nucleotides) under Paracoccaceae bacterium. RNAcentral describes it as "Rhodobacteraceae bacterium (freshwater metagenome) tRNA-Asn". The record is from RNAcentral. Lineage: Bacteria; Pseudomonadati; Pseudomonadota; Alphaproteobacteria; Rhodobacterales; Paracoccaceae.
CCGGCGUAGCUCAGCGGUAGAGCAGUUGACUGUUAAUCAAUUGGUCGUAGCCCUGCACACUGAC